UCGGACGGGUGGAGUAACGACGUGGAAACCUAGCCGUAUACUGGGGGAGUAACACUUAGAAAUAGGUGCUAAUACCGCAUAAGCGCACAGCUUCGCAUGAAGCGGUGUGAAAAACUCUGGUGGUAUACGAUGGUUCCGCGUCUGAUUAGCUAGUUGGUGGGGUAAUGGCCUACCAAGGCAACGAUCAGUAGCCGGCCUGAGAGGGUGAACGGCCACAUUGGGACUGAGACACGGCCCAAACUCCUACGGAAGGCAGCAG
This 259-nucleotide ribosomal RNA is filed under the name uncultured bacterium. Its description in RNAcentral is "partial 16S ribosomal RNA". It matches the Rfam family "Bacterial small subunit ribosomal RNA", at positions 98 to 354 of the family's 1533-position model. The record is from RNAcentral.